Molecule: ribosomal RNA, 253 nt
Filed under: uncultured bacterium
Lineage: Bacteria
Description: partial 16S ribosomal RNA
Rfam family: Bacterial small subunit ribosomal RNA
Source: RNAcentral
UACGUAGGGUGCGAGCGUUGUCCGGAAUUACUGGGCGUAAAGAGCUCGUAGGUGGUUUGUCGCGUUGUCCGUGAAAACUCACAACUCAAUUGUGGGCGUGCGGGCGAUACGGGCAGACUGGAGUACUGCAGGGGAGACUGGAAUUCCUGGUGUAGCGGUGGAAUGCGCAGAUAUCAGGAGGAACACCUGCGGCGAAGGCGGAUCUCUGGGCCGAUACUGACGCUGAGGAGCGAAAGCGUGGGGAGCGAACAGG